This 811-nucleotide long non-coding RNA is filed under the name Sitophilus oryzae (rice weevil). RNAcentral's name for it is "uncharacterized LOC115875804, transcript variant X1". The record is from RNAcentral. Lineage: Eukaryota; Metazoa; Arthropoda; Insecta; Coleoptera; Curculionidae.
CAUAAUGACUGAUAAUGAUAAGUGAUAAUAAUAACUUUAAUGAUAUGAAGGCUGAUGAAGGUAAUUAUAAACAUUAUUUUGAGUUUGUUUAAUAAAAUAUAGGAUACAAUAUAACUAAGCAAAAUCAAACAGUUUUAGACAACCAAUACAAGAUUUAGAACUUGACAUCGUGAUAAACAAAUUGUACAUUCAGGAACUCGUUUAAAUAUUAUAGGUUGAUUGACGAAUACUCUACAGUUGAUUAGAGCCCAUGAUGAUGCGAAGAUAAUUAAUAUCACCUAACUUCAAGAAACCAGCGUAAAGAAGUUUACAUUCACAACUCAUCUAACCAUUAUAGAUCAGUAAUGUCGUCAUAAUUUAAAUGAACUCACAGAUAGCAAUGGGGCACUGCACCGAAGCAGUAUUACAAAAUAUGUGAAAUAAAACUGUAAUACAAAUUGCUCUAUAAAAUUUAAUAGAAAUAAAUUUAUUUAUGAAAAUUAAGUUAUGAAGUUUUAUUUUUCCUAGGAAAAAAAUAACAUUUAUAUUUUGAUCAAUUUAGAACAUUACAGUUAAAAAAAUAUGUGUUAGAAUAACAUAUUUUUAAUAAAAUUGCAGCUUUUAAUUUUUAUACUUUUUUGCUUUUAUAUCAAUAAGAACUAACGUAAGGAACAAUUCAUAUUUAUACUAUGAAAACACAUGCAUAUUUUUUGAUGUUUUUAAAACCAGUGAAUGAUGUUGAAAUAUACUACACCUAUUAUUCUUAUUAACUAACUUUAAUUACAAACUUACACAUUAUUGUCAUUGGAAAUAAAUUAAUUUGGAUAUUCUA